Molecule: ribosomal RNA, 319 nt
Filed under: uncultured eukaryote
Lineage: Eukaryota
Description: partial 18S ribosomal RNA
Rfam family: Eukaryotic small subunit ribosomal RNA
Source: RNAcentral
CCCUUAGAUGUUCUGGGCAGCACGCGCGCUACAAUGGUCUUCGCAAACGGAUGCAUUCUCGAAGGAGAAUGCCAAUCUUGGAAUCUAUGCCUUGGUCGGGACAGUUGCUUGCAAUUUUUCGACUCGAACCAGGAAUUCCUUGUAAUCGUGAUUCAUCACAUCACGAUGAAUACGUCCCUGCCCUUUGUACACACCGCCCGUCGCUCCUACCGAUCGAAGAGUUAGGUGAAUUGUUUUGAUCGAUAAGAUUUGACUAUGGUCAACUCUCGUUGUGAAAUUCUGUGAAUCUGACUGUUUAGAGGAAGGAACAGUCGUAACA